RNAcentral lists this unclassified non-coding RNA (253 nucleotides) under uncultured Cellvibrionales bacterium. RNAcentral describes it as "contains 16S-23S intergenic spacer region". It matches the Rfam family "Bacterial small subunit ribosomal RNA", at positions 524 to 776 of the family's 1533-position model. Lineage: Bacteria; Pseudomonadati; Pseudomonadota; Gammaproteobacteria; Cellvibrionales. The record is from RNAcentral.
UACGGAGGGUGCAAGCGUUAAUCGGAAUUACUGGGCGUAAAGCGCGCGUAGGCGGCGACAUAAGUUGGAGGUGAAAUCCCCGGGCUCAACCUGGGAACUGCUUUCAAAACUGUGUGGCUAGAGUACGGUAGAGGUGAGUGGAAUUUCCUGUGUAGCGGUGAAAUGCGUAGAUAUAGGAAGGAACACCAGUGGCGAAGGCGGCUCACUGGACUGAUGCUGACGCUGAGGUGCGAAAGCGUGGGGAGCAAACAGG